Molecule: ribosomal RNA, 330 nt
Filed under: Leucon tener
Lineage: Eukaryota; Metazoa; Arthropoda; Malacostraca; Cumacea; Leuconidae
Description: partial large subunit ribosomal RNA
Rfam family: Eukaryotic large subunit ribosomal RNA
Source: RNAcentral
UCAAGAGCAGUCUAACUCUUGGGCGAAGCGAAAGCGAAACGAACCAUCUUUUAUAGUUGGUUCAAGCCGAUCCGGUGUCUUCUUUGAGAAGUCUGGCGCAGGCUGAGGGCCCGCUGUUGUCGGCCGGUGUUCCCGGAUGUGUAUCAUGUCCUUACAUCGGUCGGUUGGCGGGCACCCGGAGCGUGCGCGUUAGUACCCGAAAGAUGGUGAUCUAUGCUUGGCUAGAAUGAAGCCAGAGGAAACUCUGGUGGAGGUUCGUAGCGAUUCUGACGUGCAAAUCGAUCGUCGGAGCUGAGUAUAGGGGCGAAAGACCAAUCGAACCAUCUAGUA